RNAcentral lists this ribosomal RNA (200 nucleotides) under uncultured bacterium. Its description in RNAcentral is "partial 16S ribosomal RNA". It matches the Rfam family "Bacterial small subunit ribosomal RNA", at positions 29 to 256 of the family's 1533-position model. The record is from RNAcentral.
AGCGAACGCUGGCGGCAGGCCUAACACAUGCAAGUCGAACGCACCUUCGGGUGAGUGGCGGACGGGUGAGUAACACGUGGGAACGUACCUUUUGGUUCGGAAUAACGCAGGGAAACUUGUGCUAAUACCGAAUGUGCCCCUUCGGGGGGAAAGAUUUAUCGCCAUUAGAGCGGCCCGCGUUAGAUUAGCUAGUUGGUGGG